Molecule: ribosomal RNA, 497 nt
Filed under: uncultured bacterium
Lineage: Bacteria
Description: partial 16S ribosomal RNA
Rfam family: Bacterial small subunit ribosomal RNA
Source: RNAcentral
GACGAACGCUGGCGGCGUGCCUAAUACAUGCAAGUAGAACGCUGAAGAGAGGAGCUUGCUCUUCUUGGAUGAGUUGCGAACGGGUGAGUAACGCGUAGGUAACCUGCCUUGUAGCGGGGGAUAACUAUUGGAAACGAUAGCUAAUACCGCAUAACAAUGGAUGACACAUGUCAUUUAUUUGAAAGGGGCAAUUGCUCCACUACAAGAUGGACCUGCGUUGUAUUAGCUAGUAGGUGAGGUAAUGGCUCACCUAGGCGACGAUACAUAGCCGACCUGAGAGGGUGAUCGGCCACACUGGGACUGAGACACGGCCCAGACUCCUACGGGAGGCAGCAGUAGGGAAUCUUCGGCAAUGGGGGCAACCCUGACCGAGCAACGCCGCGUGAGUGAAGAAGGUUUUCGGAUCGUAAAGCUCUGUUGUAAGUCAAGAACGGGUGUGAGAGUGGAAAGUUCAUACUGUGACGGUAGCUUACCAGAAAGGGACGGCUAACUACGUG